CUCGUUCACAUUUCUCUUUACUUCAGUGAUGGCACUUGAAAGAACUAAUUUAAAAGAACCUGAUUAAUGCAUUAAAUACAAAUAAUACCUCUGCACCCAAGGUCCAAAAUUGGACCUCAAUUCAAAUAAAUUACCAGUCCAGCAGACUAACAUUUAAUAUACCCAGGAAGGCCUUGACCUAAAACUAAUGAAGACACACAUCUACUGUGUAAGGUAUCUUUUUUUUCAGACUGUGUAUCAUCUCUAAUUCCACAUCCUUAAAGGAAAGGGACAUGGCAGCCUUUUAGAGCCACACAAUUCAAAGCAUACAUUGAGUUGCUGUAGCUUUUUUUUCUUCUUCUUUUUUAUGGUUUUGUUUCAGCAUUUUCCUAUUUUUUUCACUUUUUCAUCCUUUGUUUGCUCAGCUGAAUGUUCUGAAGGCCUUUGAUACAUCAUGAAUUACAGCACAGUGGGCCAGUUUGAUUAUUGUACUUGGGGAAGGUCUUUUUUUCUGCAGUGGAAACGCACACGGCCGACUCUCAGCUGGCCUAAAAACGGCCAACUAAAGACGUGGCACAGCGCCAGCAUAGGUCCGUUUGAAAGGCAGACCUAAGCUGGAAGCACACCAUCACAGUCAGGGGUUUGCUGGUGAAAAAGUGUGCUGCUGUAAAUGUGUUUCAGAAGUCAUGGAUCCAACAGUUAAACUGCUAUCUAUACCAGUAUGGAAAUAGCAUGAAAGCUGAGGUCAGAUAAGUACACUUGUAGAGAAUUAGUAACCUCUGGAAGCUACCCACAGAUUGUAAAAAAAAACAAUAUUUCAACGGUUUAUAACCUACAAUAUGCGUGUGCUACAUUUCAAGUUUUAUAGUAAUUCAAUUCUAUUUUGAAAUGAAAUGUCCCAAUGGAAUGGAGUGGCGUUUCAAUGCACUGACAUUGAAAUACCUUGCUUUGCUAUUGCAGAGGUGCUUUUAAAGUGGUAAUCAAAGCAGAACUGUUUGUAUGACUAGAAGUUCCAUUGAUAAAAGCACCUCAUUCUCACUUUAUAGUGAAGCAGAGCUCUUUAAAAGUUAAUAAGCACUAAGAUAUUAAAUCAAACUGAAAGGAAAUAAAAGAUGUGAGUGUGUAUCUUUGGGGUUUCCCAGGUGACAAGACUGUUAAGAUAAUUAAAAUCGCAUAUAAUGUGUGUGACCAGAGUUACUCAUUAACUACUGGACAAAUCUGGUUGAUUACUUCGUGACCAGUUCCCAUUUUCUACUCCAUUGAACCUUCAAUGUAUUGAUUAAGUUUAUUAUGUUCCUUUUUUAAUGUCCUGUGCCUCACAAAUCACCCUCUGUCUUGUCCUUUUCAUGUGCUUGCUAUCGCUUGGUUCUGAACAGCAAACAGCGAUCGAGUUGUGAACUACAACAUGAGAAGGUGAAGAGACAAGCAGACAGGUAGACAGAAGGACAGUGCUUGUUUAACUGAGGCCCUCCUGUAGAAUGUGCCAUGUACAUGAAGAAGGUGUUUGCCUCUUUUCUAUCUGCUGCCAACAGUUUCAUUUCAAGUUCUAAAAACCUAUUUAGGGUCUAUUCAGUUGAUGUAUCGAGUGACAGAUCUAAAUACGGCCAUAAUUUACAUCAUUUAAAAGAAGGGGACUCGUGUCAGUUGAAUUCUAAUAAAAUAUUCGAAAAAGUAAAUAUUACAAAAACUGCACAUUGUCAAACUGUCUGGAGCCAAAUGCUCCAGGAACAUCCACAUCCAGGAGUAUCUACUCAUAAACCUAAAUCACUAUUUUACCCCAAACCUUUAAAUGAAUCCUAACCAUAAUGUCACUAUCAAAUCACAAAAAACUAUUCAGUCCCCCAGCGGGAUGAUUGACAUAAUAUUCACUGUACAACAGGAGCAUUUAGUACUGGGCUAAUGAACAACUUAUUUAAAAAAAAACUAGCUAGAAUAAACUAAUUUGCCAUCUUUCUAGUUUUACAAUAAUAAUGCUAUUUUAUUCCUUUCAAUACAAAAAUAGGACAAAUACUGAAUUUGCUCCAAAAUUCAACCUGAUGAUUUUAAAUGUGUUUGUCCUAAAAGAUGAAAUGCAGUGACAUGUUGGUUAUGGUUAAUUCAUUCAAAUGGAAUUCCCUUUCAGUUUUUGACCAGGAAAAUAAAAAAUGGUAAGUGACCAAUAUUUUUUUUUUUUUUUUACAGGACUUAAAAUUGUCAUUUAUACCAUCAAACACAAUUAAGGGGUUACUGAGCGGACAUAUCUCUCUGCUUCAAUUCAGAAAGCAAUUCAGGUGCAUCCAAAAACAAGAUCUAAGUAUUUCAAAAGCCCUCAUAGAGCAAGCACUAUUAGUGAAUUCCCCAUCAGUACCAUCAACAGUCAUUUUAUGUAUAUAUUAUUUAAUUAUGUAGGGACCCAUUUUAUUUAUUUAUUUAUUUAUUUAUUUUUUGGUUUCCUUUUGUUACCAUGUUAAAAAUGUCGACCUUUUUUUCACAGGUUUCCUGUAGAUCAUAAUUUUGAAGAAAAAACAAAAACAAUGCCGCCCCUGAGAUUCAAUGACAUCAUUCCCAUUUGUACUGGGAGAACUAUUCCAGUAUUAGAACAACGAAUAUGUCUGUAUUGGUUCAUAUAACUGUAUUUAUAACAAAAUUCUGUAACAAAACAAUAUCAUGCAAUGGAAAGCAAUACAUCAAUGACAUCUAAACUAAUUACACACAAUCUACUAUAUAGAAGCGUGUUUCUCUCCUUUCUUAAUAGUUGAGUUGAUGUAUUGCCUGUUGAUUCAAAAUGAAACAAUAUUGGCAUAGUAGUUUAAAUUGUGAAAGAAUAUUCAAGCAUAAAAAAAAAAUCCAGUAAUGAUUUGCAUUUCAAGUUUCUAACUUGAGUUUGUCUGACUAGUUUUCAUCUAAAGUCUGUUUCACAGCAAUCAAAAAGUUAUUUCCAUCUUCACAACAACCCUGAGUUUCCGUUGGAACAGGAUGCUCUCUCUAGGCACCCAAUGAGCUCAGAGCGGAUACCUGCAGGGCUGGCCUUUCUCCUCCAGAGGUCAGUUAGCCCGCUGACACCCACUGUCGAGUUCCUGGGUCUAAACGAGGAUGCUGGCUUGGUCGUGGGAUCGGAGGACGCCCACUAAAUCUUUGGAUCGCCUGAGCUGUGUGGGGAAUUGCUGCGGUGAGGAGAAAAAUAAUUGGACAUUCCUAAUUUGGGAGUAAAAUAAUUGAGCACGCUAACUUAAAAAAAAAAAUUAAAAAUUAAAAAUGUAUUUUUCUUACCUCAUAGUUUUAUAAAUAUCAGUACUUGUGUAUUGUGCUGAUAAUCUCUUGGUUGCUCUUGUUUUUCAUGUUAAUUUGUGAUUUGCAAAUAUUUCUGCAUCAUGAUACCUAGGUUGGACACAUGUUCUGAAGCACAAGGACAGCUACAAUGAUAUGAGCCAUGUGGUAUUACAAGGUUAUGAAGCAUCACACUGGCAUACAGUACCGUAGUACCAUAUCAGAAUCAAUGUGUUAACAAAGCUGUGCAAUACUUGUUUUCAGGGUAACAUUAUCAUGGUUUCCAUUGGUAUUUUACAAGGACAAAGAUAACACCAAAUAACACAUGCAGGUAGAUGUCUGGAGGAAAGUACCUCAUGACUCUUGACAAAUAAAAAAUGAUGUGGAUUAUCUCAACUGUAAAACAUGUGCCGCACCCAAUUAUUUUGACAUGGAAGCUAUCAACAAAAACUUUUCUGACUUCUGAAUUCCCUGGAAAUUUGCUUCAAGAAAAAAAAAAAAAAAACAACGUUAAUGUAACAAACAACAGCACUGUCUAAUCAGAAAAGUUAUGCAAGACGAGUAAAACCACCGCUCAACAGACAGAGAAAGCACAUGCAGCCCAAAUAAUGUCCUUUUAGGGCCCUUUUUGCAUACCCUUAAGACACCUCUGGUUCACUAAUUUGCUUUGCUUUGCUUUGUUAAACAUUCUCCUACUUCUGUACUACCAAGCUGUUUCACGGUGUAGGCCUCAUUAUAAAACAAAUCACUACUAAAAUACACUUUAUAACCAUGCAGACCAUUUGAGUGCUGUUGUUGCACACUUCUGAAUGGUUUGCUGACACUUUGCAGUUUAUGCCCUCCUAUUGGUCUAACAAAUACAAGAGAAGCAUGGACUAUGACCCACAGGAGGAAUGUCCGCCCUACAGGCAGGCGUUUAACUCAAAUGUCAGGGGACUAAUGGACAUUUCCAUCACAGAAUCACUUGGAACUAAUUGAAGGCUAAUGCUUAACACAGCAAAGUUUACACCAAUGUGCACAUCAGGGCUGCAGGGCCUAGCCAGGCCUGGAGGCACUAUUAAAUUUGAGGAACUUUUAGGUCAAGGCAUGCAAGUUACAUGUAUAGGUCUUUUUUAUUACACUUAACCUUUUGCCUAUGUUGAAUUAAAUAAAACUAAUAUUUUCACUGCUGUGAAAUAAAACAGAUACCGACUGGGACAUUAAUAAAUGUGAAAUAUUGCAUGGCAUCCACAAAAAUGUAGGAUAUAAAUACUAAAUGGGUAGUAUGGAACUAAAACAGGCCCACAAAGAAAAAGACAUUGACCAUGUAGAGGACCGCUCGCUGUCAGCCUCCAGGCAGUGUGGGGAGGCAAUUAAUCUACUAACAUAAUGCUUGGUAACAUAGUCAAAUGUGUACAGUAUAAUUAAAGAAAUCUAGGUUAUGAUGAGGUUGUCUAAUACCCUGGUGAGAAUACAGGGUUUAGUUUUGGUAUUCACAUUCUGGUUUUGGAAAUAGUUCAGAAAACAGCAACUAGACUACUCACAAGGCUAAAGGGUAUGAGUUAGGAGGAGAGUUUGAGGGAACUGAACCCAUUUAGCCUGUAAAACAGAAGGGACUCAGAAUUAUAAAAGGGACCAACAAAGUCAACCCCAGCCACUAAUUCAAGCAGCCCUGAGACCAGGACGAGAGGAUACAUGUGGAGGUUGAGUAGAGACGUUCAGGACAGAGGGCAGCAGGCACUGUUUCACUCAGAGAGUGUAGGGUGUAGGGAAUUGGUUGCCAAGUCAUUAUGUUGCUGCUGUAUGCAGCAGUAUGGGUUCUGGCCAGGAACAAUUAGCUUUGGUAUUGGGAAACGGACAAGCAUUGACGGGCUUCCUCUCAUUCGUAACCAUACUAAUAUUCUCCAAGAAUGUCUCUCCGCUGGGACACAGGAUGUGGCCAGAUAUCAGCAUCUAUUUGAUAAACUAAA
Acipenser ruthenus (sterlet) is the source of this 5174-nucleotide long non-coding RNA. RefSeq lists it as uncharacterized. Lineage: Eukaryota; Metazoa; Chordata; Actinopteri; Acipenseriformes; Acipenseridae. The record is from RefSeq and is a predicted model, not a curated record. The transcript has 4 exons.